AGACAUAAGCGAUUUAUUGACAAGUAUAAAAGCUUCAAUAAAACCCGUUUUGAUGGAAAAGAACGUCCAAAUGUUCGAGAAAUAGGACCAAAAGAUCAAAAUGAUUUUGAUGGAGAGGUAGAUUUUAGGACAGAGCUUGAAGACCUAUUUAAAUGGCUGUUCAUGUCAAUCCCUAAACGGGAGAGGGCUGAACUAGGCCACAAUAUAACAGACAUGCUGAUUAGCUGUACAUUUAAUGGGAGGACGUGCUCUUCAAAGAUGUUCAAACUUCAUCAGACGACAGAAUAUGGUAAUUGCUGGUCAAUCAGUUCUGACAAAUUUAAAGUGAAACACCCAGGACCAUCUGGAGG
This is a long non-coding RNA of Ruditapes philippinarum (Manila clam), 350 nucleotides long. RefSeq lists it as uncharacterized. NCBI's taxonomy places the organism in Eukaryota, Metazoa, Mollusca, Bivalvia, Venerida, Veneridae. The transcript has 3 exons. The record is from RefSeq and is a predicted model, not a curated record.